This 490-nucleotide ribosomal RNA is filed under the name uncultured bacterium. RNAcentral describes it as "partial 16S ribosomal RNA". It matches the Rfam family "Bacterial small subunit ribosomal RNA", at positions 30 to 507 of the family's 1533-position model. The record is from RNAcentral.
AUUGAACGCUGGCGGCAGGCCUAACACAUGCAAGUCGAACGGUAACAGGAAGAAGCUUGCUUCUUUGCUGACGAGUGGCGGACGGGUGAGUAAUGUCUGGGAAACUGCCUGAUGGAGGGGGAUAACUACUGGAAACGGUAGCUAAUACCGCAUAACGUCGCAAGACCAAAGAGGGGGACCUUCGGGCCUCUUGCCAUCGGAUGUGCCCAGAUGGGAUUAGCUAGUAGGUGGGGUAACGGCUUACCUAGGCGACGAUCCCUAGCUGGUCUGAGAGGAUGACCAGCCACACUGGAACUGAGACACGGUCCAGACUCCUACGGGAGGCAGCAGUGGGGAAUAUUGCACAAUGGGCGCAAGCCUGAUGCAGCCAUGCCGCGUGUAUGAAGAAGGCCUUCGGGUUGUAAAGUACUUUCAGCGGGGAGGAAGGGAGUAAAGUUAAUACCUGUGCUCAUUGACGUUACCCGCAGAAGAAGCACCGGCUAACUACGUG